RNAcentral lists this non-coding RNA (164 nucleotides) under Bacteroides cutis. The record is from RNAcentral. Lineage: Bacteria; Pseudomonadati; Bacteroidota; Bacteroidia; Bacteroidales; Bacteroidaceae.
UGAAUAACACGAAAAGAACGGUGAAAAGGGAAUCAGGUGUAAGUCCUGAACAGACCCGCUGCUGUAAGUCCUUUUAAUUCUUUGAAUAUACUUUGCCACUGUCUGCUAAUCAAGAUGGGAAGGCGUUUCAAAGAUGGACAAGUCAGAAGACCUGCCAAAAAUAA